RNAcentral lists this ribosomal RNA (494 nucleotides) under uncultured bacterium. RNAcentral's name for it is "partial 16S ribosomal RNA". It matches the Rfam family "Bacterial small subunit ribosomal RNA", at positions 28 to 507 of the family's 1533-position model. The record is from RNAcentral.
GACGAACGCUAGCGGCGUGCUUAACACAUGCAAGUCGAACGGAAAGGCCUGCUUUCCCUUGUGGAUUGCGGGUACUCGAGUGGCGAACGGGUGAGUAACACGUGAGUGAUCUGCCCCCAACUUGGGUAUAAGCCUGGGAAACUGGGUCUAAUUCCCGAUAGGACUGCAGGGUGGUGCCUGUGGUGGAAAACGAUUUUCUAGUGGUUGGGGAUGAGCUCGCGGCCUAUCAGCUUGUUGGUGGGGUAAUGGCCUACCAAGGCGUCGACGGGUAGCCGGCCUGAGAGGGUGGACGGCCACAGUGGGACUGAGAUACGGCCCAGACUCCUACGGGAGGCAGCAGUGGGGAAUAUUGCACAAUGGGCGGAAGCCUGAUGCAGCGACGCCGCGUGGGGGAUGACGGCCUUCGGGUUGUAAACUCCUUUCGACCGCGAGGAAGCCACCUGGUUGGAAGGGUGGUGACGGUAGUGGUAGAAGAAGCACCGGCUAACUACGUG